UGUUGCUGGAGAAUUUCUGAGGAUGGCAGAUGCUGAAAAGAGAUGAUGAUAUGCUGGUUUGGAUGUUGCCCUUAUAUAGCUGGAGAAUCCCAAUUCCAAUUUGAUUAGGGUUUUGGAAUCUCAAUUUGAUUUGGUCUUCUUUGUAGUCUUUGAUUCCUCUUUGGAUUUUGUAUUUGAUUGAGAAUGGAACUCUCUAAGUGAAGGGCGUGGCUCUUGGGACUGAUCUAGUGGUGUUUGAAGUGGACUUGGACUUCUUUUCUUUGAAUUUCUAAUUUCUGCCCUUUUCCCGCUCUGCUGUCAACUCCUGCUGUCAAGGUGAUUUGGGCAGUUUCUGCGAGUGAUUUGGGCAAAUCACUUGCUCAUUUUGCCCCAAUCGCUUCCUGGGGUUUAGUCCAGUUUCUGUCUUUGUUUCUGCGAGUGACUUGGCCAGUUCCUGCGAGUGACUUGGGCAAGUCACUUUGACCCAAUCACUUUUUCCAGCUUUUUCUUCACUUUUUCUCCAACUUUUCAAUUUCUUCCUUUU
RNAcentral lists this long non-coding RNA (523 nucleotides) under Manihot esculenta (cassava). RNAcentral describes it as "long non-coding RNA (MESC_LNC002586)". The record is from RNAcentral. Lineage: Eukaryota; Viridiplantae; Streptophyta; Magnoliopsida; Malpighiales; Euphorbiaceae.